UCAAUGUAGUACAUGUGGGCAACUAUAUGUGUUACUUUCGGCCUAGCGUACAAGUCCCAUUGACUUGGGCCUAUUCUUAAUUGAGAUGUCUACGGGUUUGGGGCAACUUGGAUCCGUGGAUGAGCCAUAGAGGGUGAAAGUCCCUUAAUGCGCAGGUAUUGACACUACGAACUGGAGCGGUGGCGUUUGGUAAAACAAGCGUUGCGAUUUGUUAGAGUCGGGUUGCUUGAGAGUGCAACCUAAAGAGCGAGGUAAACUGCUCGUAAGGCUAUUAUUAAUACGGCUACGACACCGAUAGCAAACAAGUACCGUGAGGGAAAGUUGCAAAGUACUUUGAAGAGAGAGUUAAACAGGGCGUGAAACCGCUAGCUGGUAAACGAGUGGAGCCACGAAGUCGUUUCGUAGAAUACGAGGCGCAAAUUCAGCUGGGGUACCGUAAAAAGUGCUCUAGCGUAUUUUUGCUUGUCUCGCUACUGUAAGCGUACACUGCAACCAAUUAGACGGCCAAUUGUGGAUACAGUUUUGCAAGUCUUACAGGGAAACUUGUUGCUUGUCAAACGUAAAGAUUUGUGUAUUUACUGUAGGUAGCUUGAAUAGAUUCUUGUAGUCUAUUUGAGUGUAUGACAUUUUUGUAAAUGCGUGAACUACAAUUGGGUACUGAUUGGCAAAAUGAAAAUCGAAUCGCAAGAUUCGUUUAAUCAUAGAAAGCGGUUAGCAUUGUAUUUGGGUACAAUUGUACGUUGCUAGUAUUCAAGCUUGAUAUUUUUGAAUUCAGGCACGUAUAUUAUCAAUAGGCUUGCUUGUUGAUAUAUGCGCUGUUUCCUGUCUAAUCGGAUAUUAACUUUGCUGGCGAUUUGAUGCAAUUGCUUCGAUAGCACUGAAUGCAAUAGUUAAUUUGC
This 899-nucleotide ribosomal RNA is filed under the name Phytoptus monthalensis. Its description in RNAcentral is "partial 28S ribosomal RNA". It matches the Rfam family "Eukaryotic large subunit ribosomal RNA", at positions 144 to 638 of the family's 3401-position model. Lineage: Eukaryota; Metazoa; Arthropoda; Arachnida; Trombidiformes; Phytoptidae. The record is from RNAcentral.